Molecule: long non-coding RNA, 580 nt
Organism: Arachis duranensis
Lineage: Eukaryota; Viridiplantae; Streptophyta; Magnoliopsida; Fabales; Fabaceae
Exons: 2
Source: RefSeq, a predicted model, not a curated record
CCUCAGAUUCGAAUCCGUCAGCCUCCGCCACCGCCGCCGCAACGCCGUUAUUCCUUGCCUGAGCUUCGUAUCUGACAUAGUUGCUUGUUUCAACCGAGUUUUCCAAUAUAUAGUUCACGCAAUCACUGGCCAAGGAAUAAGGUGACUUUGACCUACACAACUUUGCUUAUUCUUGAUCACGAAAUGGUGUUCGUGGGGUACGAGGACUUUGUUGUGAGCCUUCUAACCUUCUUAGCCUUGCACGAGCUUUGUUGAUUCUUUCCCUCACACUACUAUCAUCCAUGCCGAAGGACUCGCCGUCGUCCUCGACCUCCGUGUUAUUGGCUCGGGACUUAGGAGUCCCCCGGUGGAUAAUUGUGGUGGCGCUCGGCGACGAGGGCGGGCUUGGUGGCCACUUCUUAGUCUUGCUUAGGGAAGGAAUUUGCUUCAACUUAUUAAUUGGUGUUGGUUGUGUUGAUAUAGGCACUUCUUGUUGCUCCUCCUUUUUCUGCAAUGCGUAGCACGUUCCUCAUUUCUCUCUAGCGAUCAUAUACUAUUGGAUAUUUUUGUCCUUUUCAAAUGGUUAUUUUGAAAUCGACUA